Molecule: long non-coding RNA, 662 nt
Filed under: Homo sapiens (human)
Lineage: Eukaryota; Metazoa; Chordata; Mammalia; Primates; Hominidae
Description: long intergenic non-protein coding RNA 951
Source: RNAcentral
GGGGACUCCUGGAGUCCAUGCAGUAUGCAGAGGGCGGGGGCUUGGAGGAAAGUCGUUGAUGAUGAGCACUGCCUGUUGGGGCUAAGGGAGGUGGGGCCUUCCAGAAUUUAGAUAAGAAAACUGAGACACAGAAAAGUCACACAAGAUUAUCGAGGUCAACACAGAGAACAGUGGAACCUGCACCUGACCCCAGGCAGGCGGAACCUUCAUGACCACACCACACCACCACAGGGAACAGGCAGGGAAAACAAUGGGUCUAGCAGGACAAAAGUGACAUUUCCCAGAGUUUCUUGCUGUUUGGAUCUGGCUGCAGUUUCAGUUUUGCCAAGAAGAGGCAUUUCCAUGAGCUCUGGACAGUGGCAGAGAGGCAGAGGUGCUCCACUGCAGUGUGCUGGAUGGUCCACGGGCUCCUGCCAAUGUGAGGAUUUGCAGCAACUGGUAUAUCCAUGGUCUUGUCACCAGCUUCCUGAAUUCGGGGCAGCUGGAGCCACACUAGUGGUCCUUCCUUGCAGGGGCAGCAGCUGUCUCCUGGUCUCAGAAUCACAGCUGUGGGGAUGCAACCUUAAGCCAAAAGCCUAGCGGUGGGUGGUCCUAAACUUCUUUUGUCUAGGCCCUCUGAUCCCUCUGUAAGUCGCUAUUUCCCUUAUUAAAUCUCUUUCUGC